Small nuclear RNA from Suncus etruscus (white-toothed pygmy shrew), 105 nucleotides. NCBI's taxonomy places the organism in Eukaryota, Metazoa, Chordata, Mammalia, Eulipotyphla, Soricidae. The record is from RefSeq and is a predicted model, not a curated record.
GUGCUCGCUUCGACAGCACUUACGCUAAAACUGGAACGGUACAGAGAUUAGCAUUGGCCCCUUCGCAAGGAUGACACGCUAAUUCGUGAAGUGUUCCAUAUUUAA